UGGGCUUUUAAUGCUUUGUUUUUUCUUUAAUAAUGUUUUUUUCUCCUUCUCUCUUUUUAAUGUUGUUAUUGAAAACUUGUUAGGUUUCUAUGGUGGGCUGUGAACUGGCCUUUGGACAUGAGGCUUGUUUCUCUGUUUUUUUUUUGUUUUUUUUUAUGAAAGCCUAGUUCGAUUUUGCUCAAAAAAUUGUUAGGGAAUGAAUUGAAAAUAUGUUUAAAUUUAGAUAAACAUGAGGAAAAUUUUUGAGAGAUAUAUUUGGAUUAUUUUGAAUAAGAAUUUUAUAUGAAAUUUUAAGUUUAUUGUUUUUAAAAAAAUAAAAAAGAGAAGAAUUUA
RNAcentral lists this long non-coding RNA (333 nucleotides) under Gossypium raimondii (Peruvian cotton). RNAcentral's name for it is "long non-coding RNA (GRAI_LNC001979)". Lineage: Eukaryota; Viridiplantae; Streptophyta; Magnoliopsida; Malvales; Malvaceae. The record is from RNAcentral.